AAGUCGUAACAAGGUAACCGUAGGUGAACCUGCGGUUGGAUCAUUAACAAAUUUAUAAGUUAUUCCUUUCGGGGGAUUUACUUUUAAACACUUUUUGUGAACUGUUUUAUUGUCUCUUGGUGUGGUAACGGAUGAAAUAAUCUUAAAACAGAGUCUUAAAAACACUUUGUGAGCCCACCAAUUUUUUAAACAUUUAAUAUAUAUUUUUUGUCUCUAAUUUUAAAUCUUAAAAAAAAAAAAAAUUUAAAAACAACUUUUAACAACGGAUCUCUAGGCUCUCA
RNAcentral lists this unclassified non-coding RNA (281 nucleotides) under fungal sp. RNAcentral describes it as "partial internal transcribed spacer region". The stretch from base 1 to 46 matches the Rfam family "Eukaryotic small subunit ribosomal RNA", at positions 1786 to 1831 of the family's 1831-position model. Lineage: Eukaryota; Fungi. The record is from RNAcentral.